CCGUAACUAUAACGGUCCUAAGGUAGCGAAAUUCCUUGUCGGGUAAGUUCCGACCUGCACGAAUGGCGUAACGAUGGCCACGCUGUCUCCACCCGAGACUCAGUGAAAUUGAAAUCGCUGUGAAGAUGCAGUGUACCCGCGGCUAGACGGAAAGACCCCGUGAACCUUUACUAUAGCUUCACACUGGACUUUGACGUAAUUUGUGUAGGAUAGGUGGGAGACUAUGAAGCGGUGACGCUAGUUGCCGUGGAGUCAACCUUGAAAUACCACCCUGGUUACGUCGGGGUUCUAACUCUGGCCCGUUAUCCGGGUCGAGGACAGUGUGUGGUGGGUAGUUUGACUGGGGCGGUCUCCUCCCAAAGAGUAACGGAGGAGCACAAAGGUACCCUCAGCGCGGUCGGAAAUCGCGCAAUGAGUGCAAAGGCAUAAGGGUGCUUGACUGCAAGACGGACAGGUCGAGCAGGUGCGAAAGCAGGUCUUAGUGAUCCGGUGGUUCUGUAUGGAAGGGCCAUCGCUCAACGGAUAAAAGGUACUCCGGGGAUAACAGGCUGAUACUGCCCAAGAGUCCAUAUCGACGGCAGUGUUUGGCACCUCGAUGUCGGCUCAUCUCAUCCUGGGGCUGUAGUCGGUCCCAAGGGUCCGGCUGUUCGCCGGUUAAAGAGGUACGCGAGCUGGGUUCAGAACGUCGUGAGACAGUUCGGUCCCUAUCUGCCGUGGGCGUUGGAAACUUGAAGGGAGCUGCUCCUAGUACGAGAGGACCGGAGUGGACGUACCCCUGGUGUUCCGGUUGUCACGCCAGUGGCACUGCCGGGUAGCUAUGUACGGACGGGAUAACCGCUGAAAGCAUCUAAGCGGGAAGCCCACCCUAAGAUAAGGUUUCCCUGGGCCUUUAAGGUCCCUGAAGGGUCGUCGGAGACUACGACGUUGAUAGGCCGGGUGUGGAAGCGCAGUAAUGUGUGAAGCUAACCGGUACUAAUUACCCGUGAGGCUUGACCAU
RNAcentral lists this ribosomal RNA (997 nucleotides) under beach sand metagenome. Its description in RNAcentral is "bacterial LSU rRNA". It matches the Rfam family "Bacterial large subunit ribosomal RNA", at positions 1934 to 2925 of the family's 2925-position model. The record is from RNAcentral.